AGAGUUUGAUCCUGGCUCAGGAUGAACGCUGGCGGCGUGCUUAACACAUGCAAGUCGAACGGAGCGGCCAUGACGGAGUUUUCGGACAACUGAUUGGUUUGCUUAGUGGCGGACGGGUGAGUAACGCGUGAGGAACCUGCCUUGGAGUGGGGAAUAACACAGAGAAAUUUGUGCUAAUACCGCAUAAUGCAGUUGGGUCGCAUGGCCCUGACUGCCAAAGAUUUUAUCGCUCUAAGAUGGCCUCGCGUCUGAUUAGCUAGUUGGUAGGGUAACGGCCUACCAAGGCGACGAUCAGUAGCCGGACUGAGAGGUUGACCGGCCACAUUGGGACUGAGACACGGCCCAGACUCCUACGGGAGGCAGCAGUGGGGAAUAUUGGGCAAUGGGCGCAAGCCUGACCCAGCAACGCCGCGUGAAGGAAGAAGGCUUUCGGGUUGUAAACUUCUUUUAUAAGGGACGAACACAAUGACGGUACCUUAUGAAUAAGCCACGGGCUAACUACGUGCCAGCAGCCGCGGU
This 519-nucleotide ribosomal RNA is filed under the name uncultured bacterium. RNAcentral's name for it is "bacterial SSU rRNA". It matches the Rfam family "Bacterial small subunit ribosomal RNA", at positions 8 to 521 of the family's 1533-position model. The record is from RNAcentral.